UACGGGGGGGGCAAGCGUUGUUCGGAAUUACUGGGCGUAAAGGGCUCGUAGGUGGCCAACUAAGUCAGACGUGAAAUCCCCAGGCUCAACUUGGGAACUGCGUCUGAUACUGGAUGGCUUGAAUUCGGGAGAGGGAUGCAGAAUUCCAGGUGUAGCGGUGAAAUGCGUAGAUAUCUGGAGGAAUACCGGUGGCGAAGGCGGCAUCCUGGACCGAGAUUGACACUGAUGAGCGAAAGCCAGGGGAGCAAACGGG
This 253-nucleotide ribosomal RNA is filed under the name Acidobacterium sp. Its description in RNAcentral is "partial 16S ribosomal RNA". It matches the Rfam family "Bacterial small subunit ribosomal RNA", at positions 524 to 776 of the family's 1533-position model. Lineage: Bacteria; Pseudomonadati; Acidobacteriota; Terriglobia; Terriglobales; Acidobacteriaceae. The record is from RNAcentral. RNAcentral also lists the same sequence under 2 other names.